Molecule: ribosomal RNA, 495 nt
Filed under: uncultured bacterium
Lineage: Bacteria
Description: partial 16S ribosomal RNA
Rfam family: Bacterial small subunit ribosomal RNA
Source: RNAcentral
GAUGAACGCUGGCGGCGUGCCUAAUACAUGCAAGUCGAGCGAACCGACGAGGAGCUUUCUUCUCUGAUGUUAUCGGCGGACGGAUGCUUAACCCGUGGAUAACCUACCUCUACGACUGGGAUAACUUCGCGGAACAAUAGCUAAUACCGGAUAAUAUUUUGACCCGCGUUGUUCAAGAGUUGAAGACGCUCUUGCUUUCGCUUAUAGAUGGAUCCGCGCUGCAUUAGCUAGUUGGUAAGGUAACGGCUUACCAAGGCAACGAUGCAUAGCCGACCUGAGAGGGGAACCGUAGACACUGGAACAGAGACACGGGCCAGACUGCGACGGGAGGCAGCAGUAGGGAAUCUCCCGAAAUGGGAAAGCCUGACGGAGCAACGCCGCGUGAGUGAUGAAGGUCUUCGGAUCGGAAAACUCUGUUAUUAGUGAAGAACAUAUGUGUAAGUAACUGUGCACAUCUUGACGGUACCUAAUCAGAAAGCCACGGCUAACUACGUG